RNAcentral lists this unclassified non-coding RNA (345 nucleotides) under soil metagenome. Its description in RNAcentral is "partial contains 5.8S ribosomal RNA, internal transcribed spacer 2, and large subunit ribosomal RNA". The stretch from base 1 to 119 matches the Rfam family "5.8S ribosomal RNA", at positions 35 to 154 of the family's 154-position model. The record is from RNAcentral.
GAUGAAGAACGUAGCGAAAUGCGAUACGUAAUGUGAAUUGCAAAUUCAGUGAAUCAUCGAGUCUUUGAACGCACAUUGUGCCCCCUGGUAUUCCGGGGGGCAUGCCUGUCCGAGCGUCAUUGCUGCCCUCAAGCACGGCUUGUGUGUUGGGCCCCGUCCUCCGAUCCCGGGGGACGGGCCCGAAAGGCAGCGGCGGCACCGCGUCCGGUCCUCGAGCGUAUGGGGCUUUGUCACCCGCUCUGUAGGCCCGGCCGGCGCUUGCCGAUCAACCCAAAUUUUUAUCCAGGUUGACCUCGGAUCAGGUAGGGAUACCCGCUGAACUUAAGCAUAUCAAUAAGCGGAGGA